GACGAACGCUGGCGGCGUGCCUAAUACAUGCAAGUUGAGCGCUGAAGGUUGGUACUUGUACCAACUGGAUGAGCAGCGAACGGGUGAGUAACGCGUGGGGAAUCUGCCUUUGAGCGGGGGACAACAUUUGGAAACGAAUGCUAAUACCGCAUAAAAACUUUAAACACAAGUUUUAAGUUUGAAAGAUGCAAUUGCAUCACUCAAAGAUGAUCCCGCGUUGUAUUAGCUAGUUGGUGAGGUAAAGGCUCACCAAGGCGAUGAUACAUAGCCGACCUGAGAGGGUGAGCGGCCAAAUGGGGACUGAGACACGGCCCAAACUCCUACGGGAGGCAGCAGUAGGGAAGCUUCGGCAAUGGACGAAAGUCUGACCGAGCAACGCCGCGUGAGUGAAGGAGGUUUUCGGAUCGUAAAACUCUGUUGGUAGAGAAGAACGUUGGUGGGAGUGGAAAGCUCAUCAAGUGACGGUAACUACCCAGAAAGGGACGGCUAACUACGUG
RNAcentral lists this ribosomal RNA (497 nucleotides) under uncultured bacterium. RNAcentral describes it as "partial 16S ribosomal RNA". It matches the Rfam family "Bacterial small subunit ribosomal RNA", at positions 28 to 507 of the family's 1533-position model. The record is from RNAcentral.